CCUACGGGAGGCAGCAGUGGGGAAUAUUGCACAAUGGGGGAAACCCUGAUGCAGCGACGCCGCGUGAGUGAAGAAGUAUUUCGGUAUGUAAAGCUCUAUCAGCAGGGAAGAUAAUGACGGUACCUGACUAAGAAGCCCCGGCUAACUACGUGCCAGCAGCCGCGGUAAUACGUAGGGGGCAAGCGUUAUCCGGAUUUACUGGGUGUAAAGGGUGCGUAGGUGGCAGGGCAAGUCAGAUGUGAAAGCCCGGGGCUCAACCCCGGUACUGCAUUUGAAACUGUCCAGCUGGAGUGCAGGAGAGGUAAGCGGAAUUCCUAGUGUAGCGGUGAAAUGCUUAGAGAUCAUACAGAACACCGAUUGCGAAGGCAGCUUACCAAGCUACUUCUGACGUUGAGGCACGAAAGCGUGGGGAGCAAACAGGAUUAGAUACCCCAGUAGUC
RNAcentral lists this ribosomal RNA (440 nucleotides) under uncultured bacterium. RNAcentral describes it as "partial 16S ribosomal RNA". It matches the Rfam family "Bacterial small subunit ribosomal RNA", at positions 338 to 795 of the family's 1533-position model. The record is from RNAcentral.